RNA transcript from Gallus gallus (chicken), 9981 nucleotides. RefSeq lists it as uncharacterized. Lineage: Eukaryota; Metazoa; Chordata; Aves; Galliformes; Phasianidae. The record is from RefSeq and is a predicted model, not a curated record. The transcript has 21 exons.
ACUCCAGCGACGACCUGAGCGCGUACGCCAGCAUCAGCUUCCAGAAGCGGGAGGAGCCCUAGGAGCCGGCCGGGAAGGUGAGCUCCGGGGGCGCGGCCUCGCGGGGAGCUCCGCGGUGCCCUCACGAGGGGGUGGGGCGCGGCGUUGGGCUCCCCGGGGCCGGGGGGCGCCGUGACCCCGCGGUGGCUCGGGUCCGUUCCCGGAGUGCGGUGCUCGGGGACGGCCCGGCUGCCGUAGCCCCGUCCCGGAGGGUGCGACUGCCGAUAUCGGGUCUGGACUGCGCGGAUGCGGUGUUGCGAAUGAUGACCUAUACAACCUCAGCAAAUCCUUCUUUUAACUCAUGGGUAUCAAGACUCUAAAUGUUUCAUGUUACCACAACUAGGACCUCACCUCCUCCUCCUCCUCUUCCUCUGUAAAUGGGUACGAUGCAUCCAGUUCAGUUUGUUUACUUUACACAAACCUCAGGAGUUAGUUGACUGAGCUGCACAUCCUGUGUUGUGCCAAGCAGAAGCACUGUGACACCUGGACUAUGAGUCUCUCACUUAAUCCUCUACCGUAAGGACUUAGCUGGCCACAAUGAACUGAUGUGCCCACCACUGUGUCAUGGUGAGAAUGGGUAUUUUACUAGCACAUUUACACAACUUCAUUUGCUGCUGAAAACCUGUAUGACAAAUCAUCCUUGUAAAUUAUUACAUACAAAACUUAAUGUUGGUUGAAGAGUAUUAAAUAUUUAACAUAGGUUUUGAUUUAUACAUGUACUUUUUUUAAUUAAAAUGUAACUUUUCCUACAGCACAUCUUUUUUGAUGUGGAACUGAGGUAUACUAUAUUCUGUUGUAAACAGAGUGGGAAACCUGCUUAAAACAAGGCUUCUAAGAAUAGAGUAGGGUACUAUUCUUGUUUUAAGAUUGUAAUUCAGAAAAUAAUAUAAUACAAGUCAUUGGUCCCCGGGCCUUGAUUGUACAGUCAUAUUUGCUGAUACUAUCAGUUGUAAGAUAACCCUGAUGCUGAGCUGAUUUCUUUCCAGAAGAAAAGUAAUUUUGUACUCCUUGUAAAAUAAUAAUCUGUAUUAACUACAAUGAAGACAAACUUUUCUGUACAUGGUAUUUACAAGUGUCAACUUGAAUUCAUCAAUUGCACAGAAACUGACAAAAAAUCAGAGAAAAAGAAAUCAAAGUCUUCCAUUGUAUAUAUUGUAAAGAAUAGAAAAAAAACAACAGAAAACCACAAAACAAAAUGAAAACAAAGGGUGAACUUUUCAAAUUAACUCUUUCCCUGGAAUGAAAAUGUGGGUGUUUGUAAAUUCUGGAAAUCUCUUUCUAUAUGUAAUAAACUAGAUACUGUUUUAUCUGCUGUAGUUUGUUUGUUUGUUUGCUUUUCUUGGUAAGCUGUCUCAGAUGUCUCAGAGUGCCCCGCUGUAGCUUUCUUUGAUGUUGCCUCUGUGCCGUGAAGAAUGGCUGUGGAUCACUGCUGUUUAAGAAAGCUGAGUGUAAUUAGGUGCAGUAGAGAGUGCGCUUUGGAAAGGACCAACGAAAAACAUAUUCUGCCUUCCUGUGGUAUGCUUGGAUAUUUCACUGAAGCUCUUGUUUCAUUGUUCUGGUGAAUCUUUGGGAUACGGUCCUCCUUCCACUUACGUCAGUGGGAGCGUUCUCAGCAAGUUGAAUCUCUGGAAGCAAGAUGGCAGCAUGAAAUUUAAAAACAGCGACCAAGAUGAUUGUCUGGAAGUCAGCGCAAGAGGAAGAAUGAAGAACAAUUCUACUGUGACUUAUUUCUGUGCUUUACGCUGGCUCUGUGUGUAUAAUAUUAUUCUAUGUGUAGCAUUUGCAAAGCCUUAGUUCUUUUUGGAUAUGGGGAAGUAAUGAAAUUGGAGAUCUCAAAGCAAAAUGUUGACGUGAUAAGAGAACAUGAGACUAUUUCAGGUCCCUGGUCAUCGCUUUUGCUUCUGCAAAGCAACUUUAUGGACCAGGGUGCAUUUGACAGAAUUCUUGUUAUCAAGAAAAGGCAGGUGCUCAGUGCACCAGCUCUCCAUGGAGGAUGGGAGGAUGGCUGUCAAACCCUCAAAAAAAAGGAUUUAUUUCCCUUGAGAUGUUUACAGUGUCUGGGGCUAGGCUGAAGUUGGUGCAGUGUCCUCUUCGGACUGCAGUAUUGAUGAGGGGGAUGUUACUCAAUUGUUUUUCACCUAGCCUUUUGCUUGGAGCCUUACCAUUCCCCUAAAUGUUACUGUUGCACCUGUAUAACCACUUUUUGACCCUACCAAGUCAAAAUACUCUGCUAAGAAAGUUUUUACACCUUGAAAUAUUUCAGUCAUUACAGAUCACUGGUGACAAUUACGUGUGUACUGAUGCUGGCAGACUUUAGGAUAUUGGUGUGUGGUGAGGCUGCAGCCUAAGAUGGACCUGUGACUGCCAAGGGUGCUGCCUUUGGAAAUCUCGUCCUUUGCUGACAAAACAGUCUCCACCAAAGGAGGCUGAUGCUGAUCAGUAAAAGAGGUGAGGCAUCACAUCUUUAUGUAGGAAGGGGCAAGUUAACCCACAAGAGCUUGCCAUUGCUCUCAAAGAGCUAUGUAUGUUUUUUCCUAAAGAAUGAUUAAUGUGUAAGAAGACAGCAUUUCAUCUGCGUAUGUUCAGAAGUAAAACAAAACAAACAAUGAAACCAAGUCACCCUUCUCAAACCCUUCACCUACACCUUUCUACUGCUUCACAGUUCAACAUAAAAACUCAUAGUGUUGAUUUGGUUGCUGAAUGUUGAUAUUGAUAUUUGAUUGCCCUUUGUUGAUAUUAAUGUGCCUUGGAUAAAACAGUAUUUUAUGGCCAUUGCGCUUUGCAUUGUUUCAGAUAAUUUGUAUGCUCUAGCCAUAACUAAAAUGUAUUUGUAGGUAGUGGAAGCUACUAUUAAAUGUUAAGAGGCAUUAGUUAGCAUCUGUAAUCCAGGAAGAACUGUUUUGAAUUGAUACAUCUAUGAGCACAUUUUGUUUAUAACAUUUGAUUUUUUAAAGAACUUUAGAAAUUGGCAAAGGUUGGAAAGACUGUGAUGGGGGGUGAGGGGAUGCUGCUGUUCUGGUGGGCUGAUCUGUCCGUUUAUGUCAUUAGCACAUACAGUCAAAGAUCAACCUAUUCAUGAUGUUAACAUUCACUGCAUUUACAUUAGCAGUUCUUUUCCAUAGUAAAAUUAAACCUGUUUAGCAAGUAUGUUUUGAGAAUACUUUUAAAACUAACUUAAUCUGUAUCCAAACAAUCCUCUUGAUGCUUUUUUUUUUUGCAUAUAGAUUCUUACAAAUUCCAGACUUUAUUAAAUAGAUCGCAACUUCUUAUAAAUUAAAGUGUAAUUUCCUGAACAAAUGGUGCUAUCCUCUUAUCCUUAUAUGUAUUCUGUUGUUGUGUCUGUAACAAAAAACUUUAUGAUUUCUUUAAGUUUGAAAACGAACAAUGAUUUCUGUCCCACAUCAGAUAGUAAGGCUCAGAUGCUCAGGAGUUUAUUUUGCUGUGACUUUUUUUCAAGUGGAAGUUGCUGAUUAUUUCAGUUUCUUUUUGCCUCCAUUACUGUGAUUUUCAAAAAGGUCUAUACUGAAUGCAUUUGUUAUUGCUAUUGGUUGAAAACGAAUGAGGUUGUAAAAACAGUUUGAAGCAGUUUCCAGAAGUACUAGCAGUGCUUAUACGCUUCCUUCCCCCCCUCCCCAAUGACUGCUGAUUUAAAGCUUAAUUUGUUGCUGAGUUGAUACGUGUUGUGGAGCUCUAAAUCUUUCUAGUCUUUGAUACUAACCUCUUUAAUUAGCAUUUCAACUGUCAUAUGUCUUCUGUAAUGUUUAUGAAAUUUUUUCAGCAGAAGUACGAAUUCAGAAAAGAAAAAGGAAACAGACCACAUUUAUAGGCAUGCUCCGGUGCUGUAGACUUACUUUCUGCAUAUUUAAGAACUAAGCAUCCGUGUCCAUCUUGCUACCAGGUGACUUUUAGCUGAAGCUAUUAUUCAUGUCCUCUAUUACAUUCAAGGGCUAUGUAAUGAGUAGUAUGUGCUUAAAUGGCUCCUAUCAACUCAAUGUGUGCCGUAUUUUAGUUACAUAACUCAGCUGUGCAAUAACAGAGAUUAAUGCUGCAAUAUGCACAGCAUUCACAUUUGCUUUUGAAAUGAUUAGCUGAAGCUGCUACUUGGUAGGAGCUUAAGUACAGCAUGUCGGCUAAUGAUUGAAUUAAUCUGGAUAGAUGCUUGAAUGCUUUAUUCUUCAACUUAGUUCACCUGUGCUAUCUUACUUAAAGAAGUGAAAAUGAACAAUAACCAACUCUCACUCUCUUGAAGUAAUUUGUCCAUCUCUUGUGUGACCUCCCACCCAUCUUUGGGUGCAGUAUAUGUUUUUGGUCUGCAAGCCUUGAGGCUGGUUCACUGGUGUAAGGUGACAGUAUUCUCACUUGUCCAGUUCAUCUUGUGUGUAUCUGUUCACUAGUAAUUUCAUUUGGGUAUGACUUUGAAUAUACCAUAAAUGAACUCGUUAUGAACCUACUGGAUGCCCAUAUGAAAUUCUCCAGGCUAUAGGAUGGAGAAUGGAAAAAAAAAAAUCAGGGGAAAAAAAAAAAAAUAGGUCUUUCAGUUUAUAGAAAAACACUUUCUUUUUUUUAUCUUCAUCCUCUGAGAUGCUACUAUUCACAUAAAGGAUGAAAUGAGGAAUCUAGCUGGGAUGAGAUGAGGAGGACCAUGAUCUGUCCUGUUCACUUCUUUCUAAAUAUAUGUUCUGAAUAAACAUUUAUAUAUGAGAAGAAAAGGUGGGGGCUAAUAAUAAUUAAAAAAAAGCAGCAUUGUUAGAACUUCUGUGUUUAAAUACUUUCAGAUUGCAAGUUUUGAAUUCUACAUCUGCGCUAGUAGCAAUGGGAUAAUCAAACAUUUGUGUAUGCCUGCAGCGGGUGGGCCCCUGGGAGAGAGGGAGAUAGGGCAUAGGUUGCCUUGUACCUCCUAAUUUGUGCCAGCAGGAUGGAGGAUGUUUUCUGCAAGCAGCUCUGUGACAUUCUGAUCUCUUGAUCUGAAUUGAUUGGUGGUUUGAAAAACAGUGCUUUGCAUAGCCAAAAUGCAUAGGGGGGAAAAGAAAAAAGGACAUGGAAAGUGCUUUGGAAAUUCCCAUAACAUUGCACAACCUGUGGGAAGGUUCUUAUUUGGUGGGUACCCCUCUGGCUGCUGGGACCUCUGAAUCUGCCAUUUCUGCUGCACUAGGAUUCUUGACAGUAAUAUUUGGAGACUGGGAGUAAAAUAAUAAAAUAAAAGCUAUGUGCCCUCUGUAGAUUAAACCAAUGGAAUACAUCAUGAUGUAAUCAAGUUAUCUGUCAGCAGAUAAAGAAUACUGAAUCAGAAUGGCAAGAAGAGUCACUGUGUCAUGGCUGAAUAAAGUUAGUGUGCUUUUUCUGCUGCUCUCAGGCACUAUGUUUAUUUGAUCCAAAUGGAGCACGUAAAUGAGUAUUUAGAGGAGAACUUGCCUCCUGAGUUUGCAGAGGGUAGAGUGGUGCAGGAAAAACAAUUACAACAGUACCGAUGCCACAGAAUUGAUAGAAGUACAGGAGAACAUCUGUGGCAUUUUUGGAGAGGAAAGGUUCCUCCUUCAAGGUCUGUUCCUGUUUGACAAUUAGAAUUUUCUGGCAUCGUAAAUAUAUUUUAUGUGGGAGUCACAACCUCAGCUGUUUUGCAUAGUUUAUUCUUAUUUUUUUAAUUUUAGAAGAAAUCUGACCCAGUUUGACUGCUUGCUUUUGUGGUUGAACCGUCCCAAUGUGGCAGCAGGCCUGAAGGCCGGACUGCUGCUCCCAGCUGAGCGGUGCAGGGGUUCUGGCGGGAAAGGCCUCAGCGCCAGCCCUGCUUGGCCAGGAAGCCAUGGCUCCCGUCUCUCUCGUUGCUUGUCUGCUUGUUGUGGUAUUUGUUGUUUUUAGUUUUUUUUAAGAUUAUCAGCUAGACUAAGUAAAAUGUCAGUUAUUCCAUGAAUCGUUUAUUGGCAACGAAACACUGAAAUUUCAGAGUAUUGUCCUCCUUGGUUUUACUUGGACAGUGGGACGCUGCCCCUUUAAAUUCCCUCAGAGCACGGCAGUGCUGCUUUUCCACAUCUCUGAGCAUUAAGCAAAAGAGGGUGUAGUAUUUAUAACUGUUUGUCAGUUUAUUGUUUUACCUUCAGCUGGUGAAUUAAGAACAGUGUUUCAGUUCUUUUAAACUAGCAUUUGGUUAUCUUUCCCUCAGCACAGCCCUGAGGUGCUGUGCACUGUAGCUGAGUGCGGUCACCUCCUCAGAGGAGGCGGCUUUACCACAGUCUGGCUUUCCUCAGCUGCAUGGCAGAGUAAUCUCACUCACAUGUCAGUUUGCCUUUAUCAGCCGUGUGCUUUGCAUUAAUUUCAGCUUCCCAGUGUGCCCAUGAGGGCUGUAGUGCAGUCUGUGCUCCCUGGCUUCCCUCAGUAACACAGUCCCACCUCACCCUUCCAGACUCAGUGCCACCUCAGCGUCCCACAGCAGAAGAAUUCCUGCAUCCUCUACACCUGUCUAGAAAAUCUACUGCUGCUCUUCGAGUGACGUGACCUAGAUUUUAAAACAAAAACUAAGCCCAGGAGGUUUUCAGCUGUAGGCUUACAUUUUCCCUGGAACUGAACUUUCCCAACAGUAUGUUGGCCUUGAUAAAGUUCUGGAACGGUCCUUUUGUGGAGUGCUGUUUCUUUAAAGAAACCAACUGGCUGAAAGCAGAAGACAGUAUCCAUUGCAGCAUUGCUUCUCUGUGUGAAGAAAUGCAGAAGAUGGGUGAGUCUCCUGAUGAUGUCAAGAAAGCAAAUGCGUUACUUGUGCUUGAGAAUGCAGGAAAAUCUGAGGGGAGAGAGGCCAUAGAGGAUUUACAGAAAGAUGGCAGCAGAGGGGCAGUCUGGCAGAAUGGUGUCUGACGUGGAAGCAUUUAUGAAGCAAAGGUGUGUCACUGAAUUCCUUCAUGCAGAAAAAAUGGCACCCACUGACAUUCGUCAACGCUUGCCGAAUGUUUACGGAGACCAAGCAGUGGAUGUGCACACAGUGAGGUGGAGUUUCUGCAGGGUCCAAGGACUCUUCCUGCAAGUGCCUGCAGAGGUGAUGGCCAGAGGUUGCCCCAGGAACAUUCCACGCGUGACAUUUGAAGUCACUUUCUGCCUGAGAUGAACACAGCUCAUGAGCCUCAGAUGCUUGGUACAACAGGACAAAGACCCACAUGCUCUCACACUUUGAUAUUUGAAAGCAUAACAGUAGAAGCAUGGAAGACAGAAGCCAGCAUUCCCAGCUGUUUUUGUGUGGUAUCGUCCAUACAUUACUGAAUAUGCUAAAAGGGGGCAAGAGACACAGGAGACCAGCUUAAGGGUGUUCAAACUACCAGACUUUGUGAUGAAGAGAAUGUGCAGCUGACUUCCUAUGCUAUUCCAGAAAAAUAAACAGCACUCAUAAAUAUCUACUCCACUUUCCAUAUCUGAAGGAUUUCUACUGGGUGAUCUUUCAGGAAAUAAGGAUAUGGAAUAUGAGAGAACCGUAAAUCCCCAGGCCUGGGUCCUCCCUGAAUUCCAUGUGAUGGAUGUGCAGCUGAAGACACGUAUCUGACGUUUGUUUUGACUUUUUGCUGUUUGGAUCUUCCAUAAUACAUUUGAGAGUUUUGCAAUGUGUGGACAACUUGAAAAUAGAAAAAAAAUCAUCAAAUGAUCCAGUCUUUGAUAAACUCUGGUAUUCAAGAGAGGAGCUUCUGCCAACAGAGAGAGAAUAUGCACUUUUUCUACGUGCUGAGCACAGCCCAGACUUCAUUAAAUUGUUUUCAUAGCAAGAUGAGAAAAAGGACCUUUCAGAUGGAUCUUAUAGAGCUCCUGCUGCCAGAUAGUUCUGAACUUUCAUGCGGCCUUGGUCCCGAAGUACUGUUGACUUCAGUAAAGUGUCGUCUUGGCAGAUAAUCUGCAGCCAACAGAGUUAGCUACUAAAUGGUCAUGGAAAUACGAUUUGAAUUGCUCUCCAUACUGCUGAGUGCACAGGUAAUUCUAUCCCAGCUAACUUGAGAUGAUUACUGUGGUAUACCGUUGGGCAGACUGGAGGAAUGCAAAGCAAAAAUUACAGCUGCUGGGAAUAGAUCUGCAGCUUUCAAGAUCACAUCAACCAUCUGAGUCCUUCAUCUUCUCAGAACCCGAGAAAUCUUGUCUAUGUGCUCCAGCACAGGCAAGCCUCUAUGCUCUGAGGAUAGAACAGAGGAGCGCUCAGUUUGAGGUGUUUUCCUUACCUUCACUGCAGAAACAGCCUGACUGACACCGGGAACAUGGCAAUCGAAAUAAGAAUAGGUACUAGACGUAACUGCUCUUUCCUGGUGACCUGUUCGGUGUCCUUUGUUUCUGCGGGUUCUUAUGAGCAGCCUUUUUUUUCAGCUGGCUGGCACAGGACCGUGGCCAUCAUAUCCAGUGACAUGUAGUACAGAGGUAUGUUGUCCUUCCUGUAAUGAGCUCAGAAAAUGAGAAACAGUGAGGAAACAUCUUUCUUUAAUAACUCUGUUGAUAGAGCUUGGGAAAGUGGGCAAGUUUUAGGAUCAGAGCCAGCAAGAUUUAGUGCAAUUUUCUGUAGUAAGGCAAGUCAAUAGAUAUGCAGAAAAGAACUUCUGGGGAGAAGAAAAAUCACACAUGUUGCUUCAUCUUAUAGGUUAAAAAUUUUCCAUUGCCAUCUGUUCUUUAAAGGGAAAAUUGGAUUUUGUGAGAAUAUUUUUUCCAGAAAAAAGUAUCUGCUUUCUGUAGAAAAUCAGGGCUAUUCAUCAGAAAGCCAAACACCUGCAAGCCAAAUAUUUCUGGCUGAAAGUACCAAUGUGGAGUGCUGCUGCUGCACCUCUUGGGAGGAUGGCAGUUUGGUGCUUCAUUUCCAUGCUCUUUGUUACCAGACUCACAAGUGCCACAUCUUUGUUGCUUUAUAGGACUGCGUUCAAGUAGGGACAGGAGUUUAUGUGGCCAAAUGGCUGAAGGAGAAUCUGGAUGUGAGCUGAUUUCUCCCUCUUCUCCACGUGCAAGACUUAGGGCUCAUGCACAGGCAGGCUGGGGCAGCAUGGAUGCUCGGGCGAGCCAGGACUCCAGGAUCAGGUGAAGGAGGAUUCUCAUUCCAAUGCAACACCACAGAAAGCAGAGAUGUCCUGAAGCACCUAACCCUACCAUUUGCAAAACUAGUGCUUUAAGGGCGAGAACCCAGCCGUGUGGAGCCACUGCAGGAAGGACACAGCUUUCACCCAUCUGGCAGAAGAGGUGGCGGACAGUCCCCAGAUCCUUCAGCUGAUGCUGUUUUCUCCUCUCCUUCAACUUCUGUUUUUCCCAGUGUUACACAUUACAUUUCUGAAGCAUAUGAUGAAUGGGAUGCUGUGCAGCUGAAAAAUCACACAUCUCAAAUGGCUCAGUUGGCUCUCCCAUACUAAGCUGACUGCCUGAGUUGCAGCUCUCUGACAAGGGGAAUGGUUGCUUUACUCUCAAAAUACGGGCUGCCCAAGAGGAACUGCCAAUUUAAUGUGACUCUGGUGGGAAUUUGCUCGGUGUUUCAAGGAGGAAUGGCAUCCUGGGCUACGGCUUCUGUGACGGACUACAAGUCUUCAUCUGAUCAGUGCAGAAGUAGAUUACGAACAUUUUAUCCAUGGAUCUUCAUCCUCCAGUCGUCCAAACGAAGGAUUGUCUGAACUGAAGAACAAGGAAGGUGACUGGUUCACUCUUCUGUAUUCCACAGCCCAUUACCUCAAAGCUUUCUUCAAGCUCUAACAUUCGUAGCAAGUAGAAAAUGAGAUCCACAUGAUCAGUGAUAAGAAAUCUAGGGGAGAGCAUUUAAGAGAAUUUAGAGCUUCUACCAAAGGUCAGAAACCAAGGGUCCUAUUUCCGCUAUGAUCAGAACAAGUGGACAGUGCUGAAGGUAACUUGGGAAUGCUAACUGCCAGUUCACAUUUCCCAACAACAGUGCUGGCACCAUUUACAUGAGACUUCCUGAUGAAAAUAAUAUUUUCAAAUAAAAAAGACCUAAAAUCCUAA